Molecule: ribosomal RNA, 1524 nt
Filed under: unidentified
Description: bacterial SSU rRNA
Rfam family: Bacterial small subunit ribosomal RNA
Source: RNAcentral
AGAGUUUGAUCAUGGCUCAGAUUGAACGCUGGCGGCAGGCCUAACACAUGCAAGUCGAGCGGCAGCGGGAAGUAGUUUACUACUUUGCCGGCGAGCGGCGGACGGGUGAGUAAUGUCUGGGGAUCUGCCUGAUGGAGGGGGAUAACUACUGGAAACGGUGGCUAAUACCGCAUGACCUCGCAAGAGCAAAGUGGGGGACCUUAGGGCCUCACGCCAUCGGAUGAACCCAGAUGGGAUUAGCUAGUAGGUGGGGUAAUGGCUCACCUAGGCGACGAUCCCUAGCUGGUCUGAGAGGAUGACCAGCCACACUGGAACUGAGACACGGUCCAGACUCCUACGGGAGGCAGCAGUGGGGAAUAUUGCACAAUGGGCGCAAGCCUGAUGCAGCCAUGCCGCGUGUGUGAAGAAGGCCUUCGGGUUGUAAAGCACUUUCAGCGAGGAGGAAGGGGUUGAGUUUAAUACGCUCAAUCAUUGACGUUACUCGCAGAAGAAGCACCGGCUAACUCCGUGCCAGCAGCCGCGGUAAUACGGAGGGUGCAAGCGUUAAUCGGAAUUACUGGGCGUAAAGCGCACGCAGGCGGUUUGUUAAGUCAGAUGUGAAAUCCCCGCGCUUAACGUGGGAACUGCAUUUGAAACUGGCAAGCUAGAGUCUUGUAGAGGGGGGUAGAAUUCCAGGUGUAGCGGUGAAAUGCGUAGAGAUCUGGAGGAAUACCGGUGGGCGAAGGCGGCCCCCUGGACAAAGACUGACGCUCAGGUGCGAAAGCGUGGGGAGCAAACAGGAUUAGAUACCCUGGUAGUCCACGCUGUAAACGAUGUCGACUUGGAGGUUGUGCCCUUGAGGCGUGGCUUCCGGAGCUAACGCGUUAAGUCGACCGCCUGGGGAGUACGGCCGCAAGGUUAAAACUCAAAUGAAUUGACGGGGGCCCGCACAAGCGGUGGAGCAUGUGGUUUAAUUCGAUGCAACGCGAAGAACCUUACCUACUCUUGACAUCCACAGAAUUUGGCAGAGAUGCUAAAGUGCCUUCGGGAACUGUGAGACAGGUGCUGCAUGGCUGUCGUCAGCUCGUGUUGUGAAAUGUUGGGUUAAGUCCCGCAACGAGCGCAACCCUUAUCCUUUGUUGCCAGCACGUAAUGGUGGGAACUCAAGGGAGACUGCCGGUGACAAACCGGAGGAAGGUGGGGAUGACGUCAAGUCAUCAUGGCCCUUACGAGUAGGGCUACACACGUGCUACAAUGGCAGAUACAAAGUGAAGCGAACUCGCGAGAGUCAGCGGACCACAUAAAGUCUGUCGUAGUCCGGAUUGGAGUCUGCAACUCGACUCCAUGAAGUCGGAAUCGCUAGUAAUCGUAGAUCAGAAUGCUACGGUGAAUACGUUCCCGGGCCUUGUACACACCGCCCGUCACACCAUGGGAGUGGGUUGCAAAAGAAGUAGGUAGCUUAACCUUCGGGAGGGCGCUUACCACUUUGUGAUUCAUGACUGGGGUGAAGUCGUAACAAGGUAACCGUAGGGGAACCUGCGGUUG